Molecule: microRNA precursor, 81 nt
Filed under: Petromyzon marinus (sea lamprey)
Lineage: Eukaryota; Metazoa; Chordata; Hyperoartia; Petromyzontiformes; Petromyzontidae
Description: microRNA pma-mir-4584 precursor
Source: miRBase by way of RNAcentral
UCAGCACGGUGUCUGACGAUUUGGCCCACGUGCUGAAUAAGCUCCCCAGCGCGUGGAGCGAAACGUCGGACACCGUGCCGA